This 429-nucleotide ribosomal RNA is filed under the name Chloroflexota bacterium. Its description in RNAcentral is "Chloroflexi bacterium partial 16S ribosomal RNA". It matches the Rfam family "Bacterial small subunit ribosomal RNA", at positions 355 to 776 of the family's 1533-position model. Lineage: Bacteria; Bacillati; Chloroflexota. The record is from RNAcentral.
UGGGGAAUAUUGCACAAUGGGCGCAAGCCUGAUGCAGCCAUGCCGCGUGUAUGAAGAAGGCCUUCGGGUUGUAAAGUACUUUCAGUCGGGAGGAAGGUGGUAAGGUUAAUAACCUUGGCAAUUGACGUUACCGACAGAAGAAGCACCGGCUAACUCCGUGCCAGCAGCCGCGGUAAUACGGAGGGUGCAAGCGUUAAUCGGAAUUACUGGGCGUAAAGCGCACGCAGGCGGUUGAUUGAGUCAGAUGUGAAAUCCCCGGGCUUAACCCGGGAAUUGCAGUUGAUACUGGUCAGCUAGAGUCUUGUAGAGGGGGGUAGAAUUCCAGGUGUAGCGGUGAAAUGCGUAGAGAUGUGGAGGAACACCGGUGGCGAAGGCGGCCCCCUGGACAAAGACUGACGCUCAGGUGCGAAAGCGUGGGGAGCAAACAGG